This 2390-nucleotide ribosomal RNA is filed under the name Mylnosiga fluctuans. RNAcentral's name for it is "bacterial LSU rRNA". It matches the Rfam family "Bacterial large subunit ribosomal RNA". Lineage: Eukaryota; Choanoflagellata; Craspedida; Salpingoecidae. The record is from RNAcentral.
AGUAAAAGAGAUAUUACGGAGGAAGACUAGGGUAUAAGAAGCAGGUCGAAAGAACAUCGAAAGACCUAGGGGAGAAAAUCAGAACCUAGGAAGACCAAAGGGGGAAACCCCCAAGCAAGAGAACUCUGCGAACUGAAACAUCUAAGUAGCGGAAGGAAAAGAAAUCAAAAGAGAUUCAUGUAGUAGUGGCGAGCGAACCAUGAGAAGCCAAAAGCACAAGAACCGCAAGAACGAAGAGGGUAAGAGAGUCCCGUAAGGCGAAAAAGUGCGAAAGAGAGUAUAACAAAGCAAGGUUAGAAGAACGGGGAACCAAAACUCGAAGGCUAAAUAGACUUAUACACCGAUAGUGCACAAGUAACGUGAGUGAAAGUUGAAAAGACUAGCAAAGCUAAAGUGAAAGAGAACCGAAAACCGGAAUAUUAGAGCAGUCAAACAAGACGUACCUUUUGUAUAAUGGGCAUGCAAGUGAUAUGCUGUAGCAAGUCGCAAGACGUAGUGAAGACGAGAGAAGCAGUUACAGUAUAUCGGACCCGAAACUAAAUGAUCUACUCAUGGUCAGUUUGAACUGUGUUGUAACAGACCCAGGGAGGAACGAACACGUGAAUGUUGCAAUAUUCUGUGAAGAACUGUGAGUAGAGGUGAAAUGCCAAUCGAAUUUAGAGCUAGCUGGUUUUCUGCGAAAACUAUAGAGGUAGUGCCUUGUAUAUGAGUACCAAAGGUAGGGCAAUAGGGGGCGUCCAAGAGGAAGCCAAGAAUCACCGAAUGAGGGUACUACGAGUACAAGAGUCAGACUUAGAGCGAUAAGGUCCUAGGUCGAGAGGGAAACAACCCAGAAAAGAAGUUAAGGUCGUCAAGAACCACUAAGUGUGCAAGGACAGUAAGACAACAUAGACAACUAAAGAGUAGGCUUGGAACCAGCCAGCAAGAAAAGAACACGUAACAGUGCAUUAGGUUAAGUAGUCAUGCGCCAAAAAUAUAGGCGGCUAAGUGGAACACCGAAACUCUAGAAGCAAGGUAGCAGAACGUUUCGUAAACAACGAAAGUGACAAUGCAUGCAUGAGUAACUAAAAAAUCAAGAAACAAGAUUGACCGAAAGUUCAAGGAGUAAAGAAGCAGCACCUAAGUAAAAAAACCUGAAAAGGAAUGAACAAUGGAAACAAGAUAGGGAGUGAAGCCCAACUCACCACGAUGGAAGUGGAGCGCGAGAAGGAGCCGAAACAAUCAGGAAAAGCCCAUCUAAAGAAAACUGUACCAGUCUGCCACAAGUGAACAAGUAGAGAAUACAAAGGUCAAGGCACAACCACACUUAAGGAACUCGGCAAAAUGUCUCAGUAAGGCAACGAGAAUGAGAGCUAGAAAAGUAGCAUAAAAUAGCAAUGGCCGACUGUUUACCAAAAACACAGCUAUUCGCCAACACGUAAGUGGAAGUACGAGUAGCGAUCCCUGCCCAAUGGUCGUAUCCGAAACGAAAAGAUGAAAGUCAAAGCGAUAAGGACGACUAAAUGGCUGCGGUAACUCUGACCGUAAUAAUGUAGCGCAAUCAAUAGCCUAUUAAUUGUAGGCACGUAUGAAAGGGAACACGAGCUAUUGGCUGUCUCAAGGGUGGAGCUAGUGAAAUUGGAGUCGUAGUGAAGAUACUAUGAAAGACAUGACGGGACAAGAAGACCCUAGAAGCUUGAAUGUUAUCAUUGGUUGCUAUGUAUAGAAUACCAAAGUAGAGAAAUAGAGCAUCUUAAGAAACGAGUGAAAGACUAUAUGGAGAUUAGAGACAUAGCUAAGAUUAAUAAAAGAAAAUAAGACGACAUCCAAUGAGAGACAUUUUGAAUGGGGCGUUAGCCUUUUAAAACGUAACAAAGGUUUUCCAAGGUCUACAUAGAAGCGCAAUAGUAAAAGUAGGCUUGACUGUGAUGAAGGUAUUCAGAGCAGGGUCGCAAGACGGAUAUAGUGACCAGCCACAAUGCAAUGGUAGCAAGUGGCAAUAAGAAGGGAAGCUACUCUAGGGAUAACAGGGUAAUAGAGACCAAGAGUCCAUAUCUACGUCUCAGAUUGCCACCUCGAUGUUGAUUCUUCGCAUCCUGGGGCUGCAUAAGGUCCCAAGGGUAUUACUGUUCGUAAUGUAAUGCGGAACGUGAAUUGAGUUCAGAACGUCGUGAGACAGUUCGGCUUAUAUCUGUCAUGUCAGAGAGCCAAAAUACGCGAUCAUCAUUGUACGCAAGGAUCCGAUGGUCAGUCCCUCUGAUGUAUUUGUUGUCGUACCAAAACGGCAUAGCAAAGUAGUUACGGAUUAAAGGAUAAGAGUUGAAAGCAACUGAAACUCGAAACCUAAGUAAAAUAGGUUCAUAGGAUAGCACGAGAAGAGUGCAAAGAUAGGCGACAGGUGUACGAAGAGG